CUUCGAGUGAGUGCAUAUUUGCACAAGUGUUCCUUUUGUGUGUGCAGCAUCGUUGCCGACUCCGAAAUAUAAAAGUAGUCUAUUUUGCUGCUGGGCACUUGGAUUUCUAUUGAAAAAUAAGUGCCCGGGUUUAUAAUCUCCGAAGUGCGAAAGAUAUAAGCAUAUUUUCACCGGCUUUAUAUAAAAUUCAACGGCAUACCAUGUACUCAAAAUAUACACUGGGCUCAUUUUGAAGCUAUUUUUUCACCGUUUCACAACAGCUUAUAAGCAUGAAUCUUACAAAAUUGCUCAUCACAUUGUAAAAACUGGAAGUUGUAACAAAAAAGUUGGAAAACUUUCAGUAUUCUUUGUGAUAAAAUGUUUUCAAAUUCUUCAUGAGGUGCACCAACUGUAUGCGCAGAAUGUGUGACGACCAUCGUGCACCUGUAUGCAUUGAAUGCGAGCGUUUUG
Molecule: long non-coding RNA, 450 nt
Organism: Belonocnema kinseyi
Lineage: Eukaryota; Metazoa; Arthropoda; Insecta; Hymenoptera; Cynipidae
Exons: 3
Source: RefSeq, a predicted model, not a curated record